UACGAAGGGGGCUAGCGUUGCUCGGAAUGACUGGGCGUAAAGGGCGCGUAGGCGGCAUGUACAGUCAGACGUGAAAUUCCUGGGCUUAACCUGGGGGCUGCGUUUGAUACGUGCAGGCUAGAGUGAGGAAGAGGGUCGUGGAAUUCCCAGUGUAGAGGUGAAAUUCGUAGAUAUUGGGAAGAACACCGGUGGCGAAGGCGGCGACCUGGUCCUUUACUGACGCUGAGGCGCGAAAGCGUGGGGAGCAAACAGG
This 253-nucleotide ribosomal RNA is filed under the name uncultured bacterium. Its description in RNAcentral is "partial 16S ribosomal RNA". It matches the Rfam family "Bacterial small subunit ribosomal RNA", at positions 524 to 776 of the family's 1533-position model. The record is from RNAcentral.